CCUAAUAUUCGACUAAACAAAAAGUCACUCUUUCACCUUCCACCACUUCAUAUAUCCAUUUUUGAUCUUUGGAACUCUGAAACAGUCCGAUGAGAACGACUUCUCAGAUUUCCAAAACUCACUAUAUAAUAUCCACAGCCUUCUUCCACUUCCUUCGUAUUCCAACGUAAUUCCACACUCCAGCGACGAAGGGGCAGACUCUUACUCUUCUCCUUCCUCACUGCAACAUUAUUAAUCUCCUUGCUUUUGCCUUUUACCUCUGAAGUCAAUUUACCAUUUAUUCUAAUCAUCGGCUCUCACCUGAUUUCCUUAGCUAAUUAAUUUAUUACGUUUACAGCAGCUCACUCUUGGAGCUUAAUUGGAGCAACCGAUGGAGAGUGUGAAGAGAGAGACAUCAACGAAAUGUAUAGUUUUCAGAGAGCAAAAAAGCGACGGAGCAAGCGAUGGGGCUUUUGUUUCUUGGUUUUGUGUUCUGGUCAGAGAAGCACAUAAAAGAAGCCAACAUCGUUCUUUUGCCAACACCACUGAACUCUGGUACUUAGUCCGAUGGGAUCUCCACCGCAUUCUCAAUCAUCCAUGGGCCGCCACUCACGAGAAUCCUCCUCAACCCGGGUCUCGGAAAGUCAACGACGGCUCGAAGAGGAAAGGACACGGCGGAGAGAAGCAGUGGAAAGAGUGCGCGAUGGGUUGUUAGAUGACGGCGAUAGAGAUCGUGGCGUGCCUCCUCGUCGGUACUAUGUAUUGGCCUUCAUCGUUGGGUUCUUCAUACUCUUUGGUCUCUUCUCUUUGAUUCUGUACGGAGCUGCUAAACCUCAGAAACCGAAGAUAACUGUCAAGAUCUGAACUUUGCAGAGUAUAACAUUCGAGACGCUCAAGAUCCAAGCUGGUCAAGAUGCUGGUGGUGUAGGAUCGGACAUGAUCACCAUGAACGCGACUCUGAGUGUUUCGAUUUAGGCAAACAUCGUUCUUAUUCAGGAACAUAUAUUACUUCUGUCAAGCACCAAGAGAGGACUACUUUCAGCGAGCCAAGCCUUACAAAGAUCAUCCUACCACUGCAAGGUAUCCUCUUUUUCAUAUUGGUGCACCUUUGAUACUUAGAUUGUGGUUUUUUGUACUUUCAUCGACACGGGAGAUGUCAUCUGGAUAUGUAUCUGCUAUAUAGUUGUGCUUUAAUGGUUGGAUAAGGGUUACUAACACAGGAUGCAGAAGCUGGCAAAGGAUCUGAGUGUAGUGAUGCCAGUUAGCUUUUUUGAGUAGGCAAAUUAACGCACUUACAAUUCUGUUGCCAUUAUUGACUCUGAUGGAACUAACCUUGGGAUUUAUAGGAAGUCGCAUAUCCCUGAUGGACCAGGUGAAUCAAGUUUGGGGUUAGAAAGCACUCGACUUUCUUUUGAUGAUAUAUUUUCUAUUCUUCAGCUAUAUGUUGGGAUCAAUGGUUUCCCGAGGCAGCUAUACUGUUUUAUCCCACUGCCAUUGGCUCUGAACCUCAAGACCAGGGAUUGGAUUCGGGUGAUCAUUGGAGGAGUCUUUCCUGCUGGAGCUAAUGUAGUGAGCUAUUAGGUCUCAUCACUGUCCAUUUUCAAAGUCUAUCAGUGUAUUCUCAUCGAAUUUCUGUGUAUAACUUUUGACUGUAAGCGAUUUUACAGUGACAUGAGAAAAAAAUUAAUGUAUCUUGACACGAUGUGCAUCUGCCGUUGAACUAACCAGUCCUUUUUUCAACAACAAA
This is an RNA transcript of Brassica oleracea var. oleracea, 1726 nucleotides long. RefSeq lists it as uncharacterized. The record is from RefSeq and is a predicted model, not a curated record. NCBI's taxonomy places the organism in Eukaryota, Viridiplantae, Streptophyta, Magnoliopsida, Brassicales, Brassicaceae. The transcript is spliced from 4 exons.